Molecule: ribosomal RNA, 477 nt
Filed under: uncultured bacterium
Lineage: Bacteria
Description: bacterial SSU rRNA
Rfam family: Bacterial small subunit ribosomal RNA
Source: RNAcentral
GAUGAACGCUGGCGGCGUGCCUAAUACAUGCAAGUCGAACUUGAUUUUCGGAUUGAGUGGCGAACGGGUGAGUAAGACAUAGGUAACCUGGCUUAUAGAGGGGGAUAACCACUGGAAACGGUGGAUAAUACCGCAUGAAUAUAUCGAAGGCAUCUUGGAUAUAUAAAAGGAGCUAAGGCUUCGCUAUAAGAUGGGCUUAUGACGCAUUAGCUAGUUGGUGAGGUAAAAGCUUACCAAGGCGACGAUGCGUAGCCGGACUGAGAGGUUGAACGGCCACACUGGGACUGAGACACGGCCCAGACUCCUACGGGAGGCAGCAGUAGGGAAUUUUGCACAAUGGGCGCAAGCCUGAUGCAGCAACGCCGCGUGAAGGAAGAAGGGUUUCGGCUCGUAAACUUCUAUCAACAGGGAAGAAACAAAUGACGGUACCUGAAUAAGAAGCCCCGGCUAACUACGUGCCAGCAGCCGCCGUAACAC